UACAGUUAAACCCCCCAACUGGCCUACUGCCAACCAAGAUUGGUGCCCUCUGGGGGACAUUGCUGUCUCAAAAAAACUGCAGCCUGUUAGCAAGAAGAUGGUGAAUGUUGGUUGGGCAGAUAACUGCCCUUGACUCCCACAGAUAGUCCUGGUUCCUGAUCUAUAGGAUUCCCAGUUCCUUACAAGAGAUUUUCCAUGAGGGAAACCACUGGAUGCCAAGGAAUCAGCUGCAGAAAGGGCUGAGCUCAGGGUGGCUGGGAUGGAGAGGACCGGAUGAGAGGCAGCACAGAGAAAGAUGGAAGAGCACCUCACCUGCUCAAGAUUCAUAAAGCUACUGGACUUUGCUGAAGAAUGAAUCACUUAGGAUGAAGCUGCCACUCGAGGACAGAUUCCUGGAUGAGCGUGAUGGUAAUCUUCUCACAGAUGAAACGGCUCACCUCGCAUUAGUGACACCACUGAACGCUGUGUUAUCACCCGUCAAUUGCCGUCACGCCUCUUAUAUUCUGCAACAUUGCCAAAUUCCACUUUUGUUAAAAGUUAUCACAUUGUCAAUUUUUCUAAUCUAAUUCUUAAUCUUGGAAAUGUGCCCUGAUUUCUGUUGCACUCAAGCCAGUAAUAAGAUAUUGUUUUCCUGUUUUAUUAUCGAUUUUCCACCCUCAUUAUAGUGUCCUCAUUUAUUACUGUUUAUGGUUCCUAAUAUGCAUCUUGACGUACAGGGCAGAUAAUGUAAAACUCAGGGAAAGCAUGUUGGAAAUUCACAAGGACUGUGGGUUGUUAUCCUGGGUCCCUUCCUCAUAAAGAACUAAGAUAUAACACAGUGGCUCCUUGUUCAGGUUUUCAUCAUUGAAAGGUUCCACCCCAGCACCUUGUGUCACAGACUUAGAGGUGGUGACAGGAAAGAGAUCCAGCUGUGACUCACAGACCCCAGGGUCCAAGGGGCCACAGAUAAGCACAGCUCUGAGUCUCUAGGGCUACAAACAACCAGUAUGUGCGUCUUUGGAGAAGACUACAUCUUUCACAUUUAUCAGCUCAUGCGAUCGUUACAGGAGCUCAGGGAGAUAGAAAGACCCUUAUAUUAACCCUGUGUGCCAGAAAAGCAAGCUGGUAAGAAUCAAAAAGACAUAUUAUGGAGUUUGAUAUUUGACCAGGGCUCUGGUGUUGAAGGGCAGAGGCUCCCUCACCCUCUAGCUGAUGAGGGAGAAGAGUGGGGAGCGGGCAGGACUCCCUGCAGGGGGCCGGAAGGGCUCAGCAGAGCUCUGGACUUCACUGAGCAUCUGGCCCCUCGGGCAUUGCAGACUCAGGAACCCCUUGCCCAGCCAGGCCCCGUGCAUGCAGGAAAAACCCGCAGGAGCAGGAGCUGAGCCAGACCAUCCCGGAGUUUCAGCUGAGUGCCUGCUUGUGUUUAAUUACCUUCAUUUCACAGAUUAGGAAUCCGAUAUUCAGAGUAUAAAUAACCUCCAAAGUAUAUUCUCAAUGGAUUUUAUG
Long non-coding RNA from Chinchilla lanigera (long-tailed chinchilla), 1485 nucleotides. RefSeq lists it as uncharacterized. The transcript has 4 exons. The record is from RefSeq and is a predicted model, not a curated record. NCBI's taxonomy places the organism in Eukaryota, Metazoa, Chordata, Mammalia, Rodentia, Chinchillidae.